Mizuhopecten yessoensis (Yesso scallop) is the source of this 568-nucleotide long non-coding RNA. RefSeq lists it as uncharacterized. The record is from RefSeq and is a predicted model, not a curated record. The transcript is spliced from 2 exons. Lineage: Eukaryota; Metazoa; Mollusca; Bivalvia; Pectinida; Pectinidae.
CUGUAAUAAAAUGAUUGACCGUCGAAGGCCACUCCCAUACAUAGGUGUUGAGUUUUAUAUGAUAAAUGCUUUAUGUUCGGUUGAACGUAGUGAAUUAGAAUCAUAAAUGUAUUUAUUAUAGUCACGGUAUACCGGCAUGUAUGUAGUGCAGGUAGUACAGGUGUACUAGUGUCCGGAUAUGAGGCCAAGGUGACACAGGUAGCCGCGUGAGGCGGGACGGGUAACGUGUAACUGCACGAGUUACAGGUGCGACACGGGUGUCUAUAGAGUAUUAAAGGUGGUUUGAGGGUAACAUAGUCAUUCGAGUCUUGACGGUUCAUCAACUCACUUCAAGAAAUUAUAUUUUCUUUUGUUAAAUCAUAGAAUUAUGAAAUUUCCCCGUUUUCCUUGAGACAGGCAUGGACUUCAGGGAUGAUGCCGGGAAGAGAAUUCCUAGAGUCGGGCCAGGAUCCGGAUUCAGGAGGGAUGGAGAAGGGAGAAUGGAAGAAAGAUCGGGCACGUGCCCUUGUAUUUCAUGUAUACAUUUUUCCUGUAAUAAAAUGAUUGACCGUCGAAGGCCACUCCCAUA